This 1387-nucleotide ribosomal RNA is filed under the name Aureococcus anophagefferens. Its description in RNAcentral is "partial large subunit ribosomal RNA". It matches the Rfam family "Eukaryotic large subunit ribosomal RNA", at positions 23 to 1464 of the family's 3401-position model. The record is from RNAcentral. Lineage: Eukaryota; Pelagophyceae; Pelagomonadales; Pelagomonadaceae.
ACCCGCUGAAUUUAAGCAUAUAACUAAGCGGAGGAAAAGAAACUAACAAGGAUUCCCCUAGUAAGGGCGACUGAAGCGGGAUCAGCCCAGAUUGUAAACUGACCUUAAUUAAGGUUGGGUUGUAGUCUAAAGAGGCGACGCCAGGCAAGGUCCGGGGAGAAGUCCCUUGGAACAGGGCAUCGGAGAGGGUGACAAUCCCGUCUGUGCCUCGGACCGCGUCGUACGGUGCGUCUUCGACGAGUCGGUUUGCUUGGGAUUGCAGACCAAACGGGUGGUAAAUUCCAUCUAAGGCUAAAUACGGGUGGGAGACCGAUAGCGAACAAGUACCGUGAGGGAAUGAUGCAAAGAACUUUGAAAAGAGAGUUAAAAAGGGCCUGAAACUGGUCGGAGGGAACCGAACGGCAGAAGUGGUGAUGGGCGCGUAUUUUCCGCCGGGCUCUUGGCCGGCGUACUUGUGCGCGUCCGUAGGUCAGCGUGGGUUGGGGCGUGGGAGUCGUUCAUGGGAAGGUCUUCGGGCCAAUCUCGUGUUCAGGCCGCGCCUGAGACCUUCGGUGACGAAAUUCUUCCGUUCACCCCGUCUUGAAACACGGACCAAGGAGUCUAAAAUACGAGCGAGUGCGCCGGUGGCAACCCGGGGCGCGUAAUGAAAGUGAGACCGACGGUGGGAGGGCUUUACGUCCGCACCAUCAACCGACCAGGAUCCUUCGGGUGAAAGGUUUGAGUGUAGCUUGUAUUUUGGGACCCGAAAGAUGGUGAACUAUGCCUGAAUAGGGCGAAGCCAGGGGAAACUCUGGUGGAGGCUCGUAGCGAUUCUGACGUGCAAAUCGAUCGUCAAAUUUGGGUAUAGGGGCGAAAGACUAAUCGAACCAUCUAGUAGCUGGUUCCCUCCGAAAUUUCCCUCAGGAUAGCAGCAAUCGAAGAGUUUUAUCAGGUAAAGCGAAUGAUUAGAGGCCUCAGGGGUGGAACGUCCUUGACCUAUUCUCAAACUUUAAAUGGGUAAGAGCCAGGGGUUGCUUAAGUGAACCCCUCGGUCGAAUCGCGGUUGCUAGUGGGCCACCCGGGGUAAGCUCGGUUGGCGAUGCGGGAUGAUCCGAACGUCGAGUUAAAGUGCCUCACUGCCCGCUCACCUAGAUCCCACAAAAGGUGUUGGUUCAUUUAGACAGCAGGACGGUGGCCAUGGAAGUCGGAACCCGCUAAGGAGUGUGUAACAACUCACCUGCCGAAUGGAUUAGCCCUGAAAAUGGAUGGCGCUGAAGCGAGCGACUUAUACUCGACCAUCACGGCAAGUGCGACGCCGUGAUGAGUAGGAGGGCGUGGGGCUCGUGGCGCAUCCCGCGGCGUGAGCCGGGGUGAAACGGGCUCUAGUGCAGAUCUUGGUGGUAGUAGC